Molecule: transfer RNA, 58 nt
Filed under: Albizia sp. 'bermudiana'
Lineage: Eukaryota; Viridiplantae; Streptophyta; Magnoliopsida; Fabales; Fabaceae
Description: partial tRNA-Leu
Rfam family: tRNA
About the family: Transfer RNA (tRNA) molecules are approximately 80 nucleotides in length. Their secondary structure includes four short double-helical elements and three loops (D, anti-codon, and T loops).
Source: RNAcentral
ACGGACUUAAAAUCCGUCGACUUUAGAAAUCGUGAGGGUUCAAGUCCCUCUAUCCCCA